Molecule: ribosomal RNA, 1216 nt
Filed under: Stenostomum leucops
Lineage: Eukaryota; Metazoa; Platyhelminthes; Stenostomidae
Description: SSU rRNA
Rfam family: Eukaryotic small subunit ribosomal RNA
Source: RNAcentral
CCAGCAGCCGCGGUAAUUCCAGCUCCAAUAGCGUAUAUUAAAGUUGUUGCAGUUAAAAAGCUCGUAGUUGGAUCUGGGGUUCGGGUCGGUGGUUUGCCGCUCUGCGGCUACUGCCGUGCUCGACUCUUACUAGCCGGUGCGUCUCUUGGUGCUCUUCAUUGAGUGCCACGAGAGCCUGGCAUGUUUACUUUGAAAAAAUUAGAGUGCUCAAAGCAGGCGCUUGCGCCUGAAUAGUGUUGCAUGGAAUAAUGGAAUAGGACCUCGGUUCUAUUUUGUUGGUUUUCGGAACUUGAGGUAAUGAUUAAGAGGGACGGUCGGGGGCAUUCGUAUUUCGGUGUUAGAGGUGAAAUUCUUGGAUCGCUGAAAGACGGACAAAUGCGAAAGCAUCUGCCAAGAACGUCUCCAUUAAUCAAGAACGAAAGUCAGAGGUUCGAAGACGAUCAGACACCGUCCUAGUUCUGACCAUAAACGAUGCCAACUAGCGAUCCGCAGUGGUUGCUAUAAACGGACUCUGCGAGCAGCUUCCGGGAAACCAAAGUGUUUGGGUUCCGGGGGAAGUAUGGUUGCAAAGCUGAAACUUAAAGGAAUUGACGGAAGGGCACCACCAGGAGUGGAGCCUGCGGCUUAAUUUGACUCAACACGGGGAAACUCACCCGGUCCGGACACCGUAAGGAUUGACAGAUCGAGAGCUCUUUCUUGAUUCGGUGGAUGGUGGUGCAUGGCCGUUCUUAGUUGGUGGAGUGAUUUGUCUGGUUAAUUCCGAUAACGAACGAGACUCUAGCCUGCUAACUAGUUGCGCCGUGUUCAUUCGCGGCUGUAGACUUCUUAGAGGGACAGAUGGCGUUUAGCCAUACGAAAUUGAGCAAUAACAGGUCUGUGAUGCCCUUAGAUGUCCGGGGCCGCACGCGCGCUACACUGAAGGAGUCAGCGUGUGCUAUCCGUGCUCGGAAGAGCUCGGUAACCCGUUGAAACUCCUUCGUGCUUGGGAUUGUGGCUUGUAAUUAUCGCGCAUGAACGAGGAAUUCCCAGUAAGUGCAAGUCAUCAGCUUGCGCUGACUACGUCCCUGCCCUUUGUACACACCGCCCGUCGCUACUACCGAUUGAAUGGUUUAGCAAGGUACUCAGAUUGGUCUCGAUCUUGCACGCAAGUGUGAGAUCGACGGUCGAGAAGAAGGCCAAACUUGAUCAUUUAGAGGAAGUAAAAGUCGUAACAAGG